RNAcentral lists this ribosomal RNA (439 nucleotides) under uncultured bacterium. RNAcentral's name for it is "partial 16S ribosomal RNA". It matches the Rfam family "Bacterial small subunit ribosomal RNA", at positions 339 to 795 of the family's 1533-position model. The record is from RNAcentral.
CUACGGGCGGCUGCAGUGGGGAAUAUUGCACAAUGGAGGAAACUCUGAUGCAGCAACGCCGCGUGGAGGAUGACACUUUUCGGAGCGUAAACUCCUUUUAUAUAUGAAGAAGAUGACGGUACUAUAUGAAUAAGCGCCGGCUAACUCCGUGCCAGCAGCCGCGGUAAUACGGAGGGCGCAAGCGUUACUCGGAAUCACUGGGCGUAAAGAGCAUGUAGGCGGGUAAAAAAGUUGGAAGUGAAAUCCACUGGCUUAACCAGUGAACUGCUUCCAAAACUCUUUGCCUAGAAUAUGGGAGAGGUAGAUGGAAUUUCUGGUGUAGGGGUAAAAUCCGUAGAGAUCAGAAGGAAUACCGAUUGCGAAGGCGAUCUACUGGAACAUUAUUGACGCUGAGAUGCGAAAGCGUGGGGAGCAAACAGGAUUAGAUACCCUAGUAGUC